This 468-nucleotide ribosomal RNA is filed under the name uncultured bacterium. RNAcentral's name for it is "partial 16S ribosomal RNA". It matches the Rfam family "Bacterial small subunit ribosomal RNA", at positions 28 to 507 of the family's 1533-position model. The record is from RNAcentral.
GACGAACGCUGGCGGCGUGCUUAACACAUGCAAGUCGAACGGAAAGGCCCGGCUUUUGUGGGGUGCUCGAGUGGCGAACGGGUGAGUAACACGUGAGUAACCUGCCCUUGACUUUGGGAUAACUUCAGGAAACAGGGGCUAAUACCGGAUAGGAUCUCCUGCUGCAUGGUGGGGGUUGGAAAGUUUCGGCGGUUGGGGAUGGACUCGCGGCUUAUCAGCUUGAUGGUGGGGUAGUGGCUUACCAAGGCUUUGACGGGUAGCCGGCCUGAGAGGGUGACCGGCCACAUUGGGCCUGAGAUACGGCCCAGACUCCUACGGGAGGCAGCAGUGGGGAAUAUUGCACAAUGGGCGGAAGCCUGAUGCAGCAACGCCGCGUGCGGGAUGACGGCCUUCGGGUUGUAAACCGAUUUCGCCUGUGACGAAGCGUGAGUGACGGUAAUGGGUAAAGAAGCACCGGCUAACUACGUG